RNAcentral lists this unclassified non-coding RNA (335 nucleotides) under soil metagenome. RNAcentral describes it as "partial contains 5.8S ribosomal RNA, internal transcribed spacer 2, and large subunit ribosomal RNA". The stretch from base 1 to 120 matches the Rfam family "5.8S ribosomal RNA", at positions 35 to 154 of the family's 154-position model. The record is from RNAcentral.
GAUGAAGAACGUAGCGAAAUGCGAUAAGUAAUGUGAAUUGCAGAAUUCAGUGAAUCAUCGAAUCUUUGAACGCACAUUGCGCCCGCCAGUAUUCUGGCGGGCAUGCCUGUUCGAGCGUCAUUUCAACCAUCAAGCCCCCGGGCUUGUGUUGGGGACCUGCGGCUGCCGCAGGCCCUGAAAACCAGUGGCGGGCUCGCUAGUCACUCCGAGCGUAGUAGUUACAUCUCGCUCAGGGCGUGCUGCGGGUUCCGGCCGUUAAAAGCCUUUUACCCCAAGGUUGACCUCGGAUCAGGUAGGAAUACCCGCUGAACUUAAGCAUAUCAAUAAGCGGAGGA